RNAcentral lists this ribosomal RNA (390 nucleotides) under Armatobalanus allium. RNAcentral describes it as "partial 12S ribosomal RNA". It matches the Rfam family "Microsporidia small subunit ribosomal RNA", at positions 651 to 1213 of the family's 1311-position model. The record is from RNAcentral. Lineage: Eukaryota; Metazoa; Arthropoda; Thecostraca; Balanomorpha; Balanidae.
UGAAACCAGGAUUAGAUACCCUGUUACUUAUAAUUAAAAAUUUUUGGAAUAGUAGUAAUAAUGAAAUUUAACGGAUUUGGCGGCAAGAUAGCCAUUUAGAGGAACCUGCCCUAUAAACGAUGAUCCACGAUUUACUAUACUUUUAUUAGUAACACAGUUUGUAUACCGCUGUUGUCAGUCAGUUUCUUUAGAAAACUUUCAUACAUGAAAUAAUCAUAGACUUCAAGUAAAGGUGCAGCUUAUAUAAAAGAGAGAGGUGGGUUACAUUUAAUCGAAUAAUACGGAUAAAGUUUUUGAAAUAUCUUUUGAAGGUGGAUUUAAUUGUAAAGUUUAAAAAAACUUGAUGUGAGCUCUGUCUUGUGUACACACCGCCCGUCGCUCGCGGGAAAA